This 113-nucleotide ribosomal RNA is filed under the name Danio rerio (zebrafish). Lineage: Eukaryota; Metazoa; Chordata; Actinopteri; Cypriniformes; Danionidae. The record is from RNAcentral.
ACCAGCAGCUAGCUCUUUAAAUCUCACAUGGUCGACUACUGAAGUUAAGCAGGGCUGUGCCUGGUCAGUAACUGGAUGGGAGGCCACAUGGGAAAGCUAGGUUGCUGCCGGUA